CCUACGGGUGGCAGCAGUGGGGGAUAUUGCACAAUGGGGGGAACCCUGAUGCAGCGACGUCGCGUGGGUGAAGGAGUGCUUCGGCAUGUAAAGCCCUAUUGGCAGGGAAGAAGCAAGACGGUACCUGACUAAGAAGCCCCGGCUAACUACGAGCCAGCAGCCGCGGUAAUACGGAGGGGGCGGGCGUUAUCCGGAUUCACGGGGUGUAAUGGGGGCGUAGACGGCCAUGCAAGCCAGGGGUGAAAGGCCGGGGUCCAACCCCGGGACUGCCCUUGGAACUGCAUGGCUGGAGUGCGGGAGGGGCAGGCGGAAUGCCUGGUGUAGCGGUGAAAUGCGUAGAUAUCAGGAGGAACACCGACGGCGAAGGCGGCCUGCUGGACUGCGACUGACGUUGAGGCUCGAAAGCGUGGGGAGCGAACAGGAUUAGAUACCCGUGUAGUC
Molecule: ribosomal RNA, 441 nt
Filed under: uncultured bacterium
Lineage: Bacteria
Description: partial 16S ribosomal RNA
Rfam family: Bacterial small subunit ribosomal RNA
Source: RNAcentral